Alexandromys fortis (reed vole) is the source of this 1325-nucleotide long non-coding RNA. RefSeq lists it as uncharacterized. Lineage: Eukaryota; Metazoa; Chordata; Mammalia; Rodentia; Cricetidae. The transcript is spliced from 3 exons. The record is from RefSeq and is a predicted model, not a curated record.
UCAGUUGCGGGGUUGGUGAAGAUUUUCUCCCAGUCAGUGGGUUGCCUUUCUGUCUUAGCGACAGUGUCCUUUGCUUUACAGAAGCUUCUCAGUCUCAGGAGGUCCUAUUUAUUCAAUGAGGCCCUUAAUGUUUGUGCUGCUGGGGUUCAAACUGCUUUUCACUGGCUGAUACCACCCUGAGGAAUGCUUGGGUAUUGUUCUGUGUGCACUGUCUUUCUGUCUGCCUUAUGCUCCUGCACUCCCUAGAGCAGAAUUAUGACUUAGUAGAAUUAGAUAGCCUCACUUUAACCCUGCUUUGACAGAAUUUUAACCCCAUAAGGAGCUAAAUCUUUUUCUUUUACUAUUUUUCUUUUUCAUUUUUUUCACCUCCCCCACUUUUUCUAUUUUUGGCAUUGCUCAGGCUCUAACCCCAAGCUAUUUUUGAUUGUGUGUUUUGUUUUCAGACUGUCCAAGUAAUUGUCCAGGCUCGACUUGGUGAAAAGAUUUGCACCCGUUCAUCUUCUUCCCCAACGGGUUCUGAUUGGUUCAAUUUAGCAAUCAAAGACAUCCCAGAUGUUACCCAUGAAGCAAAGAAGGCCCUGUCAGGGCAGCUGCCUGCGGUGGGACGCUCUAUGUGUGUGGAGAUCUCACUCAAGACUUCUGAGGGAGACUCCAUGGAGUUGGAAAUUUGGUGUCUUGAAAUGAAUGAAAAGUAAGUGUCGCUGUGUCGGACUCCGUGGUGUGGCACUGGGGUAGGCAGUGACCACAGAUGAAAGCAGACUUCGCUCUUGGCAUUCCUCUGGUCAGCAGAGCCAGCAGGCUUUGCUGUGACUUGCUUCAUGCUUGGCUUCCAGCCUAGGCACAGAGGUGACCUUCAGAGGGAGUGAGGUUCCAGAGCAUCGUCACAAUGGAAGGAACAGCAGCAAGGCUGCAGAGGAUUUGCUUUCCCAGUACAGCUUGUUCUCUGAGUCCCCUGUGAUCUCCUUCCCCAUGGUAUUGUUGGGGCAGCUCUCCAGUGAGAUCUCCUGCACUGCUCUUUCCACACUGAUGGGAUGGAAUGCCACCUCCUUCCCCUGGUUCUGUCUCACCACCUGCCUGAAGCUUGACUUUGCUUUUCCUUAAGUAGAAAGCAGUUGACAGACUAUCCAAACUUUUUGUAACAAAUAGGUUUUUUUUCUUCAGUUUUCUUUUUUUCCCCCUCAGGUGUUCUAUAUAGAAUUAAAUUGUUCCUAAGACAGAACCUUGAAAAUAAGCAGCAGGCUGAGUAUAAUUUGCAAUAUUGUUAAGUUGUUUUUUUGGUUUUUCGAGACAGGGUUUCUCUGUGGUUUUGGAGCCUGUCCUGGAAC